ACGAAAUUGUGUCCAGUUAUGGAAAAGAAGUUGGUGGACUCUUUGGAGCUAGCUAAGUCUUGGGAUGUGAUUGUUGCUAGUGAUACUGUGCUUGAGAUUGUUUUAGAGAGUCAUACAAGGAAUCUGUUUAUCCAGUGCCUUCAAGUGAGAGAUUUGACUUUGAUGGUGCCAGUAGUUCGGUUAUCAAACCUCCUAUAACGAAGAAGCAGCCCGGGCGGAACAAGAAGAAGAGGAUACCUUCAAGGGGUGAGAAUGUGAAGCAAAUCAAGUGUGGGAGGUGCUUGAAAUAUGGGAAUCACAAUAAGAAGACGUGCAAGGCUGCUAUUUGAGGCCGCAAUCUAUUCUUUUGGAUUUGUAUUUGAAUUUGAGGAAUUAUGAUAAUAAAAAAUGUGAUACUUGGUAUUA
Camellia sinensis is the source of this 405-nucleotide non-coding RNA. The record is from RefSeq and is a predicted model, not a curated record. Lineage: Eukaryota; Viridiplantae; Streptophyta; Magnoliopsida; Ericales; Theaceae.